GACGAACGCUGGCGGCGUGCUUAACACAUGCAAGUCGAACGGAAAGGCCCUGCUUUUGUGGGGUGCUCGAGUGGCGAACGGGUGAGUAACACGUGAGUAACCUGCCCUUGACUUUGGGAUAACUUCAGGAAACUGGGGCUAAUACCGGAUAGGAGCUCCUGCUGCAUGGUGGAGGUUGGAAAGUUUCGGCAGUUGGGGAUGGACUCGCGGCUUAUCAGCUUGUUGGUGGGGUAGUGGCUUACCAAGGCUUUGACGGGUAGCCGGCCUGAGAGGGUGACCGGCCACAUUGGGACUGAGAUACGGCCCAGACUCCUACGGGAGGCAGCAGUGGGGAAUAUUGCACAAUGGGCGGAAGCCUGAUGCAGCAACGCCGCGUGCGGGAUGACGGCCUUCGGGUUGUAAACCGCUUUCGCCUGUGACGAAGCGUGAGUGACGGUAAUGGGUAAAGAAGCACCGGCCAACUACGUG
Molecule: ribosomal RNA, 468 nt
Filed under: uncultured bacterium
Lineage: Bacteria
Description: partial 16S ribosomal RNA
Rfam family: Bacterial small subunit ribosomal RNA
Source: RNAcentral